Molecule: long non-coding RNA, 540 nt
Organism: Acanthaster planci (crown-of-thorns starfish)
Lineage: Eukaryota; Metazoa; Echinodermata; Asteroidea; Valvatida; Acanthasteridae
Source: RefSeq, a predicted model, not a curated record
ACACAAAGGAAACAUGGUUGAAAAAAGGUUUAGCAAUUAAACCUGAUGAAAAGCCUUACAAAAUGGUCAGAGCCAGACUGAGAAAGAAUAAGUCCUUUGAGCCUCUUGUAGCAUUGUAUGGUCAAUGGCAGACUGAGUUGUACAUCCCACCUGCAGCAGUCGAUGGCAAGGUACCUCGAAAUGAAUAUGGCAAUGUGGAGUUGUUUCAGCCAUCCAUGUUGCCCAUGGGAACAGUGCAUCUUCAAAUAGAAAGAAUUGUUUAUCCUCCCCUGUUGCACUACUCAAGGGAAGACAUAGUUACAAGCACCAUUAGACAUGAGGUAUUCCAUCGAGUUAAUUACAUAGUGCAUCACAAUGAACUUUAUCCAUGUACGUAUUAUUUAGAAUUUCAUCAUGUCAAGAGUAACAAAUCAUUUUUAAGCCAUGGGGGUGUUUUAUCAGAGGAGGAAAGGGAAGGUGGUGGGAAAAUUUGUACCGCUUUAAACUGAACAUUGAAGCGUAGACAUUCCAAAACAGAGCCACAAAAGGUGCAGUAUUCUG